This 444-nucleotide ribosomal RNA is filed under the name uncultured Bacillota bacterium. RNAcentral's name for it is "bacterial SSU rRNA". It matches the Rfam family "Bacterial small subunit ribosomal RNA", at positions 917 to 1359 of the family's 1533-position model. The record is from RNAcentral. Lineage: Bacteria; Bacillati; Bacillota.
GGACCCGCACAAGCAGUGGAGUAUGUGGAUUAAUUCGACGCAACGCGAAGAACCUUACCAGGGCUUGACAUCCAUCGAACGGGCAAGAGAUUGCCUGGUGCCCUUCGGGGAGCGAUGAGACAGGUGGUGCAUGGUUGUCGUCAGCUCGUGUCGUGAGAUGUUGGGUUAAGUCCCGCAACGAGCGCAACCCUUAUCGUUAGUUGAUACAUUAAGUUGAUCACUCUAGCGAGACUGCCGUUGACUAAAACGGAGGAAGGUGGGGACGACGUCAAAUCAUCAUGCCCUUUAUGUCCUGGGCUUCACACGUACUACAAUGGCAGUCAUACAGAGGGAAGCAAUAUGGCGACAUGGAGCGAAACCCUAAAAGCUGUCUCAGUUCGGAUUGCAGGCUGCAACCCGCCUGCAUGAAGGUGGAAUUGCUAGUAAUCGCGGAUCAGCAUGCCG